UCGCACCUGCUCACAUUGAUGCUGUUCUUAACAUGAAGCACAAUAAAAAGUCGGACUGGUCGUUUCACAGAAUCCUGCUUCCGUUUCCAUUAUUUUCUUAGUGAAAUGUAUUUUAGGCGAACUUGUCCAUUUUCAAAACGCUCGGUUACAGUAACUUUGUUAGACUUCCACCACAAAAAAAUUAAUUGGAUUUUUGAAGUAUUGAGCAACUACAGGAAGUGUUUACAUUUGAUUUGUGUUUGAAGCACCUCUAAGAGAGACAAGUGUGCAAAGUGAAAGCAAACUUGACGAGUACAAGAUGACCCACAAGAGGCGUGGCUUGGCACUAAUCUUUAACCAAAAAACUUUUGAAAAAUCUGAAGUUUAUCAGAGUGGAGAGGUACAGAUAUAGACAGAGACAACCUCACACAAAGAAACAUUAUCAACCUAUUUAACCAUAGCUGCUGCAGCCAACCACAAAGAUGUGGAUUGCUUUGUCUGCAUAUUCCUAUCUCAUGGGAAAGAAGGGAAAAGUGAAGCAUUUGAUAAUCAGAUUGAAAUUAAGGAAAUAACAGAUUUAUU
Long non-coding RNA from Silurus meridionalis, 561 nucleotides. RefSeq lists it as uncharacterized. The transcript has 3 exons. NCBI's taxonomy places the organism in Eukaryota, Metazoa, Chordata, Actinopteri, Siluriformes, Siluridae. The record is from RefSeq and is a predicted model, not a curated record.